This 460-nucleotide ribosomal RNA is filed under the name uncultured bacterium. RNAcentral describes it as "partial 16S ribosomal RNA". It matches the Rfam family "Bacterial small subunit ribosomal RNA", at positions 338 to 795 of the family's 1533-position model. The record is from RNAcentral.
CCUACGGGAGGCAGCAGUAGGGAAUCUUUCACAAUGGGCGAAAGCCUGAUGGAGCAACGCCGCGUGCAGGAUGAAGGCCUUCGGGUUGUAAACUGCUUUUGUCAGGGAGCAAUUGAGUCCACGUGUGGUCUUAGCGAGAGUACCUGAAGAAAAAGCAUCGGCUAACUCCGUGCCAGCAGCCGCGGUAAUACGGAGGAUGCGAGCGUUAUCCGGAUUUAUUGGGUUUAAAGGGUGCGUAGGUGGUUAAUUAAGUCAGCGGUGAAAGUUUGUGGCUCAACCAUAAAAUUGCCGUUGAAACUGGUUGACUUGAGUAUAUUUGAGGUAGGCGGAAUGCGUGGUGUAGCGGUGAAAUGCAUAGAUAUCACGCAGAACUCCGAUUGCGAAGGCAGCUUACUAAACUAUAACUGACACUGAAGCACGAAAGCGUGGGGAUCAAACAGGAUUAGAUACCCCAGUAGUC